GGAUUCCCCUAGUAACUGCGAGUGAAGCGGGAAAAGCUCAAAUUUAAAAUCUGGCGGUCUCUGGCCGUCCGAGUUGUAAUCUAGAGAAGUGUUACCCGCGCUGGACCGUGUACAAGUCCCCUGGAAUGGGGCGUCAUAGAGGGUGAGAAUCCCGUCUCUGACACGGACUACCAGGGCUUUGUGGUAUGCUCUCAAAGAGUCGAGUUGUUUGGGAAUGCAGCUCAAAAUGGGUGGUAAAUUCCAUCUAAAGCUAAAUAUUGGCGAGAGACCGAUAGCGAACAAGUACCGUGAGGGAAAGAUGAAAAGAACUUUGGAAAGAGAGUUAAACAGUACGUGAAAUUGCUGAAAGGGAAACGCUUGAAGUCAGUCGCGUUGGCCGGGAAUCAGCCUCGCUUUUGCGUGGUGACUUUCUGGUUGACGGGUCAGCAUCAAUUUUGACCGCUGGAAAAAGGCUUGGGGAAUGUGGCAGCUCCGGCUGUGUUAUAGCCCCUUGUCACAUACAGCGGUUGGGAUUGAGGAACUCAGCACGCCGCAAGGCCGGGUUUCGACCACGUUCGUGCUUAGGAUGCUGGCAUAAUGGCUUUAAGCGACCCGUCUUGAAACACGGACCAAGGAGUCUAACAUGCCUGCGAGUGUUUGGGUGGAAAACCCGAGCGCGUAAUGAAAGUGAAAGUUGAGAUCCCUGUCGCGGGGAGCAUCGACGCCCGGACCAGAACUUUUGGGACGGAUCCGCGGUAGAGCAUGUAUGUUGGGACCCGAAAGAUGGUGAACUAUGCCUGAAUAGGGUGAAGCCAGAGGAAACUCUGGUGGAGGCUCGUAGCGAUUCUGACGUGCAAAUCGAUCGUCAAAUUUGGGUAUAGGGGCG
RNAcentral lists this ribosomal RNA (865 nucleotides) under uncultured Podaxis. RNAcentral's name for it is "eukaryotic LSU rRNA". It matches the Rfam family "Eukaryotic large subunit ribosomal RNA", at positions 72 to 925 of the family's 3401-position model. Lineage: Eukaryota; Fungi; Basidiomycota; Agaricomycetes; Agaricales; Agaricaceae. The record is from RNAcentral.